Long non-coding RNA from Anas platyrhynchos (mallard), 882 nucleotides. RefSeq lists it as uncharacterized. Lineage: Eukaryota; Metazoa; Chordata; Aves; Anseriformes; Anatidae. The record is from RefSeq and is a predicted model, not a curated record.
GUAUGGCUGGUGUGCAGCACAAAGCAGAAUUUGGCCUGGAUAAUGUAAAUUUUGUUCCACAGGCUCUGAGCUUGUGUAGCCCUCAUGGGGGCUACCUUAGGGGAGCACGGUGCCCUUUCUGUUAUGCUGAGGCUGUCAAGAAAGCACUCGAGCGAUUUAGUCAAGUUUAUUGGAAAAUCAGUGGAGGAAAUCAGCUUGCGGGUCAUCUUGAAAGGUGGAUGAGCCUCAUUCCUCUUCUCCUUUUUCUGCUUUGGAAACUGGCAGAUCUAGGGGCUGGAGCAAUGGUCCAUUUCCCCGUCCUGUCGCUGACUCACAAGCAAGCCUGUCCUUGCCUCUUCCUCUUGGGUUCCCCAUCUGUGAGCAGAGAUAUUUAUUCAGCGGCUGAAGCCCACUCAGCAGUCAGAUGCGGAUCAGAAGAGACAAAUUUCUAUCAAGACCAUGACCAGCAGUUUUUACGGUACCUUCAAAACCUCCAGGGCUCAUUCUGGGAAUGGGCAGAGCUGCCCAAUGCCUUGCAAAGCUGCAGCUGAGUGCCGUAGGGGAUGCACAGCCAUCGCCCAGUGGCUGCAUCCAGGGCCAGGGUCCAAAAUCUCAGCCCCGAGCGAUGAGCAGCUGUUAUUACUCCAUCACCUGAGCGGCUCCAGCUCUGUGGCUCAUUAGCAGGUUGGAUAUAUUAGUAACUGUCAAACAAUUGGAGAGCUACCUUGUUGGGUGAAUGGAUGAAAACACAUUAACUCCCACAAAAGGGGGAGAGGCGGUGAUUAGCUGGUGAGAUGACAAUAUGAAAUGUCAGUGGCACAGACAGUAAGCACAACUGUUCAUUAUUAUAUUAACAGCUUUAAUUUUCUGCCUUUAAACAGCAGUUUCCUGUCAGUUCAAUUA